RNAcentral lists this transfer RNA (76 nucleotides) under Staphylococcus aureus. RNAcentral's name for it is "tRNA-Val". It matches the Rfam family "tRNA". From Rfam's summary of the family: Transfer RNA (tRNA) molecules are approximately 80 nucleotides in length. Their secondary structure includes four short double-helical elements and three loops (D, anti-codon, and T loops). Further hydrogen bonds mediate the characteristic L-shaped molecular structure. tRNAs have two regions of fundamental functional importance: the anti-codon, which is responsible for specific mRNA codon recognition, and the 3' end, to which the tRNAs corresponding amino acid is attached (by aminoacyl-tRNA synthetases). tRNAs cope with the degeneracy of the genetic code in two manners: having more than one tRNA (with a specific anti-codon) for a particular amino acid; and 'wobble' base-pairing, i.e. permitting non-standard base-pairing at the 3rd anti-codon position. Lineage: Bacteria; Bacillati; Bacillota; Bacilli; Caryophanales; Staphylococcaceae. The record is from RNAcentral. RNAcentral also lists the same sequence under 1 other name.
GGAGAAUUAGCUCAGCUGGGAGAGCAUCUGCCUUACAAGCAGAGGGUCGGCGGUUCGAACCCGUCAUGCUCCACCA